UCGUGCUAGGUGGGGAGCUAGCGGUGCCCUGCACCCGCAUAUCCGCUAUAGCGGGACCGAACUCCUCUUCGAGGUCCUGGGCCACGGCUGUUUUCCUGGCUGAGUGGUGUUGAAGAUUGGGUCCUGCGCGGCAGGAGGCUGUGAAUCCCGUCAGGUCCGGAAGGAAGCAGCGGUAAGCAGUGACUUCUGGGUGCCGCAGGAUCGCCUGGUCGGAGCCAACUGGCCAGGGUAAAGCCGCGGUGAGGGAACGACAGGGGGUGCACGG
RNAcentral lists this signal recognition particle RNA (265 nucleotides) under Chloroflexota bacterium. RNAcentral's name for it is "Chloroflexi bacterium (groundwater metagenome) signal recognition particle sRNA large type". It matches the Rfam family "Bacterial large signal recognition particle RNA". From Rfam's summary of the family: The signal recognition particle (SRP) is a universally conserved ribonucleoprotein involved in the co-translational targeting of proteins to membranes. Archaeal SRP consists of a 7S RNA and homologues of the eukaryotic SRP19 and SRP54 proteins. In most bacteria, the SRP consists of a 4.5S RNA and the Ffh protein (a homologue of the eukaryotic SRP54 protein). Lineage: Bacteria; Bacillati; Chloroflexota. The record is from RNAcentral.